AUUUUUAUAAGUAUAAUUUUUUAAAAAAAUUACCUGAAAUCAUUUCGAACUCAAACGGUAAAAAUUUUUAAUUGACGUUUUAUUUGAUAUAUAAGUCGAAAAAAGCAUUUUUUCAAGGCUAAA
RNAcentral lists this ribosomal RNA (123 nucleotides) under Acanthamoeba castellanii. The record is from RNAcentral. Lineage: Eukaryota; Discosea; Longamoebia; Acanthamoebidae.